AGGAUGAACGCUGGCGGCGUGCCUAACACAUGCAAGUCGAACGUCCUGUCUCGCAAGAGGCAGGGAGUGGCGGACGGGUGAGUACCACGUGGGUCAUCUACCGUGAGGUGAGGAAUACCGGCGAGAAAUCGCCGACAAGACCGCAUAGCCUCGGUGCAAGUCGAGGAAAGCUCUCUCGAGAGAGGGAGCGCCACACGAGGAGCCUGCGCCCGAUUAGCUAGCUGGUGGAGUAAUGGUUCACCAGGGCGACGAUCGGUAGCUGGUCUGAGAGGACGAUCAGCCACACUGGGAUUGAGAACGGCCCAGACUCCUACGGGGGCAGCAGUGAGGAAUUUUCGCAAUGGGGGCAACCCUGAACGAGCAACGCCGCGUGCAGGAAGAAGGUUUUCGGAUCGUAAACUGCUUUUCUCGGGGAAGAGAACGGACGGUACCCGAGGAAUCAGCCCCGGCUAACUACGUGCCAGCAGCCGC
RNAcentral lists this ribosomal RNA (471 nucleotides) under uncultured bacterium. RNAcentral describes it as "SSU rRNA". It matches the Rfam family "Bacterial small subunit ribosomal RNA", at positions 26 to 518 of the family's 1533-position model. The record is from RNAcentral.